GACGAACGCUGGCGGCGUGCUUAACACAUGCAAGUCGAACGGUGAAGCGCCUUCCUUUUUGGUGGGUGUGGAUGAGUGGCGAACGGGUGAGUAACACGUGAGUAACCUGCCCCCUUCUUCUGGAUAACCGCAUGAAAGUGUGGCUAAUACGGGAUAUUCUGGGUCUGUCGCAUGAUGGGUCUGGGAAAGAUAUUGUUUCGGUGGGGGAUGGGCUCGCGGCCUAUCAGCUUGUUGGUGGGGUGAUGGCCUACCAAGGCGGUGACGGGUAGCUGGCCUGAGAGGGUGGACGGUCACACUGGGACUGAGACACGGACCAGACUCCUACGGGAGGCAGCAGUGGGGAAUAUUGCACAAUGGGCGCAAGCCUGAUGCAGCGACGCCGCGUGAGGGAUGGAGGCCUUCGGGUUGUGAACCUCUUUCGCCAGUGAAGCAGGCCUGCCUCGUUUGUGGGUGGGUUGACGGUAGCUGGAUAAGAAGCGCCGGCUAACUACGUG
RNAcentral lists this ribosomal RNA (494 nucleotides) under uncultured bacterium. RNAcentral describes it as "partial 16S ribosomal RNA". It matches the Rfam family "Bacterial small subunit ribosomal RNA", at positions 28 to 507 of the family's 1533-position model. The record is from RNAcentral.